AUAUACCAAAAAAGGCACAUCUUUUACAGACAAACACAGUACUGGUUCCAGCCAUUUGGUAGCAUUGUCCCUCAUCUCUCCAUGGGGUUCAAGGAUUCUUGAACAAUUCAUCCCCAGUUUUUGAAUCAUUAAACGUUUUUGACCUCACUGGGGACAUCUUUCUCCUUCAUUGUCUUUCUAAGAAUUUAUAAGUUCACCUCAUCCGGGAGGCAGCACUAGGAACUGCUGCUGCAUAAGGACACGCCAUUUUUCUCCUUUCUUGCCUCUUUCUUGGGUGAUCUUGGUUUUGUCACUGCUCUGGAAGACCUGUGAAUACGCGUGCAAAAAAAAAGGGAGGCAGCACUAGGAACUGCUGCUGCAUAAGGACACGCCAUUUUUCUCCUUUCUUGCCUCUUUCUUGGGUGAUCUUGGUUUUGUCACUGCUCUGGAAGACCUGUGAAUACGCGUGCAAAAAAAAGGUUCAGUAGUUGUUCCAUAUGUA
Molecule: long non-coding RNA, 481 nt
Filed under: Nicotiana tabacum (common tobacco)
Lineage: Eukaryota; Viridiplantae; Streptophyta; Magnoliopsida; Solanales; Solanaceae
Description: long non-coding RNA (NTAB_LNC002138)
Source: RNAcentral